UGUGUUUUUAUCCUUGUCUCUUAACCCUAAGACGGAUUAAGUUGGCAGCUGGAAGCAUCUGCUUCUCCGCGGUUUGGUUGCUCCCCCUGGUUGGGUGUCUGUACUCUGUAUAUACCAAGUCUUGACGUCAACGAUGACAUCAUCAAUCCCCUGAUUUUUGAUUUUUUCGUCGUUGUUUUGCUUGCAUAUGCUGUCAAGAAGCGCUUCAUCCCCCGUGAGUUUCUUGAACUUCAUUCAUUCCCCUUUCCCGUCUAGUCCUCCGGACAAGCUUUAACUAAUUCUAAGGUUUUGGGUCGUACGCCAAAGCAAAAAGAAAGCAAAAAGCUUCAGCUUUGAGGCGGUAGUCAUUUUGGCAUCCAAUAGAUGAAUCGUUGUUGGCGGGUUUUCUCUUUCUUUGCCCCCUUUUUUUUUUUUUAUAAGAAACGAUGAAUGUAGAUUGAUAAUAUGGAUCCAAGCACUCAUCUUUCUUUAAUUUUGAGUCACUUCUGUCGAUUGUUCAUUGUUAUAUGCUGGGUCCCGAAUUGUGGUUUAGUUGGUAUGAACAGAAACUUGGAGCUUUUAUGUGAAUUUACAGGAGGCAAUAGUUUAUAAUAUAUGUGCAUACAUUGGAUACUGGUAGUUCGUACAUUAGCAAAAGCUGUUUACUAUAGUGUACAAGUUUCAUCAAGAACUGUAGACAAAAGCAGCAAAAGCUGGUAUGUACAUUAGCAAAAGGUGAUCAUUGACAAAAAUAGGUGACUUUAUGACACUAAACUGAUCUCAAAAGCUGAUGCAAAACAUAGGAAUGGUGCAUGAUUUUAGUCGAUUAUUUGGUGCUUUGGCUGGUCAGUGAUUGUUGCUGGUGGAUCUCUUUUCUUAGUUGCUGUAGCUUGUGCGAUGGUUGGAUUGGUUGUGUCUUUGCUUGAAUCUUCAGUUGCAAUUUGUUGAUCAGGUAGGUUUGAUGAUGAGGCUUCAUUGGUUGCUGGUGCAGGGGUCUGUGUAGGAUCUUCAAUUGGUAGACAAGCGAGGAUGUUGUACUUUGCUACAAUUGUGUUUUGUAGAGGAUGAGUGAAUUUCCUGACUUGAAAACGAAAUGUGCUCAUAUGGAGCUUUAUAUUGAUGUCUGCAAUAUCUGGAAUUUGGUUCUGUGGACAUUGGUUUCUGAAUGAGUAUGUCUUUGGUUUGGUAUAUGAAUAGUGUGAAUAAAUUUGUAUUCUAUAAAAAGUAAUGUUGUUAAUGUUCAAAAUUACCUUUAGUGUCAUGUAGAGUAUGUCUUCAGCAGAGAUGUUGAGAAUGUGUUGAGCAUGCUGGUCUUCAAUUUGUGCAGUAAUUGUUCCAGUAGUAUCAGACAGUUGCACUAAGAACUUGAGCCUGCAUUAAGUAUUAUGGUUUUGUUAUGUUAUGAUAAGAAGAAUGUUAUGAAUUUUAGUGUGUAAAUAUGUUUAUGGAUUUACCUUGGCAGUGGUUUUGCAAAUGUCAUGUUGCAAUGACGGCAUAAGAAGUUGAAAUUUGCUUGAGCUCCAGUUUGUUUCUUGCAAUUAGAAGCUGGACAGGUAAGGAUGUAGAGUCGAUGUUGAGGCUGAACUAUCUUUGCUUUGGCUUUGAUCCAGAAUGGCUUUGCCUGUAAGAUUUCAUGUGGUUAAAUAUUAGAUUUUGUUGUGAUAGUAUUUGUUAUCGAAUAUAUUGUAUUUUGUACUGAUAAAUGUAGUAGUUGUACCAGAUAAGGAGUAUUUAGUGCAUAGCUGAUGUCGUGCAUAUGUUCUUCAGGAGGAGGUUGGACUGUUUGAUGAGUUGCAUCAUAAAGUUUUUUUGCUAAAACUUGCUCAAUAUAAGGUCUGCUUGCUUUGGUCCUGUUAUAUUGUAUAGGAUGGUGUCAGAUUUUGGUUAUAAUGUGCCUAACGAAUAAGUAAAUAUUGACUUUAUCAACUUACCAACUUUUGAGUUCUAGUGCUUGAGGGAUUUGUGGAUCAAACAAGAUAGCACUCAUUGUUUGUGUCUCGACAGAUAAAACUGUUAUAUGAUUAUUUGAAAAAUUAGUACUAUAUUCUGUAAAGCAGAUAAUAUACUUGACUUUUGUAAGUUUAUAUGAAUUAGGGACAGAUUGACAUACCAUGUACUGAAGUCACUUUGGCUCUUGUUAUAAUCAAUGUCGGGGAUUGAUUUAAGAUCCUCAGAAGGUAUUGUGCUUCAAUGUCAAUGAAUUUUGGCCACAUUGUAAGUAUCAUUGGCUUUUGUCUGCAUCAGUUAUCAAUAGUUAAUAUGAGUUUUGUGUUGUAUUGCACUUUAUUAAUUUGCAUUGUUUUUAUACUUACUCUUGAUUUAGGAUGAUGAAUUCUUGAAUUGGAUAAUCGCCUCUUUGUCGUGCAAUGAAGCGACGGGGAAGAGCUCCAAUGACAGUGCAUAGCAGAGCUGAGACAAGAGCAUUAGGUAUUAGUAUUGAUAUGUAAGAAUCAUUGUAGUAACAAUGUAAUGAAAAUUAUUAAAGUGAAGUAGUACUUAUCGGAUUUGUAUUUGUAUCCAUGUACUUAUAGAAGUCUCUGAAUGGUGUAAAAUUGUAGCACUGAUCGAUAGGAUACUGGUUUUCUUGAUCUGCUUCUUUGAUGAAUGUACCUCUGGUCAAGGUUAGUUGAAAUGGUGAAGUGCAGUAUCUGAAAUUUU
RNAcentral lists this long non-coding RNA (2637 nucleotides) under Coffea arabica (coffee). Its description in RNAcentral is "long non-coding RNA (CARA_LNC006761)". The record is from RNAcentral. Lineage: Eukaryota; Viridiplantae; Streptophyta; Magnoliopsida; Gentianales; Rubiaceae.